RNAcentral lists this ribosomal RNA (464 nucleotides) under uncultured bacterium. Its description in RNAcentral is "partial 16S ribosomal RNA". It matches the Rfam family "Bacterial small subunit ribosomal RNA", at positions 28 to 506 of the family's 1533-position model. The record is from RNAcentral.
GAUGAACGCUGGCGGCGUGCUUAACACAUGCAAGUCGAACGGAAAGGCUCCUGCUUGCAGGGGUACUCGAGUGGCGAACGGGUGAGUAACACGUGGGUGAUCUGCCCUGCACUUCGGGAUAAGCCUGGGAAACUGGGUCUAAUACCGGAUAGGACGAUGGUUUGGAUGCCAUUGUGGAAAGUUUUUCGGUGUGGGAUGAGCUCGCGGCCUAUCAGCUUGUUGGUGGGGUAAUGGCCUACCAAGGCGUCGACGGGUAGCCGGCCUGAGAGGGUGUACGGCCACAUUGGGACUGAGAUACGGCCCAGACUCCUACGGGAGGCAGCAGUGGGGAAUAUUGCACAAUGGGCGAAAGCCUGAUGCAGCGACGCCGCGUGGGGGAUGACGGCCUUCGGGUUGUAAACUCCUUUCGCUAGGGACGAAGCGCAAGUGACGGUACCUGGAGAAGAAGCACCGGCUAACUACGU